RNAcentral lists this transfer RNA (72 nucleotides) under Marmota monax (woodchuck). RNAcentral's name for it is "tRNA.Ala". The stretch from base 5 to 68 matches the Rfam family "tRNA", at positions 5 to 66 of the family's 71-position model. From Rfam's summary of the family: Transfer RNA (tRNA) molecules are approximately 80 nucleotides in length. The record is from RNAcentral. Lineage: Eukaryota; Metazoa; Chordata; Mammalia; Rodentia; Sciuridae.
GAGAGUGUAGCUCAGUGGUAGAGCGCUCGCCUAGCAAGUGUGAGGUCCCUGGGUUCGAUCUUCAGCACCGCA